Molecule: long non-coding RNA, 744 nt
Organism: Protopterus annectens (West African lungfish)
Lineage: Eukaryota; Metazoa; Chordata; Ceratodontiformes; Protopteridae
Exons: 3
Source: RefSeq, a predicted model, not a curated record
UGCCAUUGCUACCUGUGGACUGAGUGGGACCUCAGUGAACAAUUUAUUGAAUUGUGACCUAUCCAACUUAUCUACGCUAUCAUUGAGAUGACUACUUCCAGGAGGCUUCAACAUGUCCGGGCAUCCAAUUGAACCAAGGAGGAGACCACUCAGAUGCUGACCGUCUACAGUGAAGUAGAGCAUUGCAUUAGAGCCAGACCACAGAACUUCUUGAUGAUCGAUAUAUGGAACUGGAUUGUGAUGGAGCUACAACAUCAUGCAGAUAUUUACAGGACUUGAGUGCAGGUUCACUACUGCUGUGAUGACCUGAGUCAGAGAUACUGAGGAUCUUCAUUGGAGGGUCACUGAAGUGUAGAGACAGCCAGUGGAUGCCUACAGUGAUGAAGAGUGCACUAGGAGUCGGUCCCUGUGUAUCGAGCAGAGGCACAGGGAGGAGGAGCAGCACAGGAAGAAAGAUGUGUUGAUUACUUUGUCAGACUUUGUAAAUAAAAAUAGAUCUGAUCAUUGUUACAGGAUUGUUUUGCAUUACCAUGUAUACUACUUCUAAUGCAGGAAUACUCAUCAUGCAUCUGUAAGCUGAUGAGAGUGACAGAAAGAACUGAUGGGGUGAGAGGAAAAUAAUUUGGUGCAGAAGUCGAUUGAAAAAGAGAAAUGAAGGUUGUUGAAUUUACCUAUGGUGAUUUGUCUGCAGAAUAGCUACUUAAAAUAUUAAGAACUGCAUAUCAAAGCUGUCUGAUUCACAUU